GUCUAUGGCCAUGCCACCUUGAACAAGCCCGAUCCUGUUUGAUCUCGGAAGCUAAGCAGGGUCGGGCCUGGUUAGCACUUGGAUGGGAGACCACCUAAGAAGACCAGAUGCUGUAGGCA
Molecule: ribosomal RNA, 119 nt
Filed under: Pteropus alecto (black flying fox)
Lineage: Eukaryota; Metazoa; Chordata; Mammalia; Chiroptera; Pteropodidae
Source: RNAcentral